GUAACUCUGGAGAAGCCCAUUCAAUUGGGGACCGAAGGUGCAAGGCUAGUGAUGCCGAAUCUCUCAGGUAAAAGUACGGAGCUA
RNAcentral lists this non-coding RNA (84 nucleotides) under human gut metagenome. RNAcentral's name for it is "Glycine riboswitch". It matches the Rfam family "Glycine riboswitch aptamer", at positions 6 to 89 of the family's 94-position model. From Rfam's summary of the family: This family represents the bacterial glycine riboswitch. The record is from RNAcentral.